This 906-nucleotide long non-coding RNA is filed under the name Suricata suricatta (meerkat). RNAcentral's name for it is "lncRNA (ENSSSUG00005012837.1)". The record is from RNAcentral. Lineage: Eukaryota; Metazoa; Chordata; Mammalia; Carnivora; Herpestidae.
ACACUCACGGCCACAUGAUUAGUAGAGUCAUCCUGGUAUGACUCUGUCUCUUGGGUUGGAAAGGACAAGUGGAACUUGUGAAGCCUGAGAAUGAAGUCGCAAGCUUGAUCUUUUCUCCAUUAAUUUUUUAUUUUUCUUCCUGCUUGGUUCUCCUCACUCACUCCAUGCGGCUUUGUGUUUUCCAGCGGGACCACACAUUGCCAUUUGGUGAUGGCCUUCCAUUUCGAACACUGUUCUGAGUCCAUGUCAUUUUUACUUGAUGUUCCACUCACAUCUCAACUCUGCAAAGGGCAGGCUGGUUACUCCUCUGGUGAGUUAUGGGCAGAUCCAAGAGGAGGAGAAACGGUGGGACACUGAGAGAGGGCCGAACCACGUGCUCCUCACGACAAACGCAAAGGGGCUUGAUAACCUCUGAGGCGAGAAAGAGCAAAGGGAGGCUUUUCCACGGGGCGGUGUGCUCAGUGUGCAGGCGUUGGGCAUAGUCCAGAGGCGAGCCACAACCAGGGGGGGCUCUGCGCCCAAAGGGAGCUGCACUGAGAGAGGACCUUGUCUUAUUAGGGACAUGCACAGAGGUGUGGCGACGCCUGGGCUAGCCACACCAGAGGGCGAGGUGGUCCAGGGCGAGCCACACCCAGGGGCCACCCCGAGAAGUUAGUGGCGGCCAUGUUGGGCAGUCUAAACGGUUAGACGUCUCACCUCAGACUUCUGGUAUUUGUGUCCUUCACAAGACAGACUUUGACGAAGGUUUCUGGAUGCUGGAAUGACCUUCCCUCCUGCCCACCGUCUGCCACUUCCGUCCUGGUGGCAGGUCUUCUAGGCCUCUCAGCCCCUAACUCGCCCCACAGGAGGCCGCGGCCUCGGAAACCGUGCUGACGCCGGGGGGUGGGGGGCUGCGCCUGGGCCGCG